GGAGUACAAGGACUGGAGUUGCUUCCAGAGCCCAGCCUGGAGUGCAUCUGAUUGGAAAGUCCGGCAGCCAGAAGCACCCUGGCCAACUGGGAUUCCUGGGGCUCCAUCUAAAACCGGAUAAACAAUCCCUGGGCAGGGAAGCUGGAAGAGAGAGGAAGCUAAAUGCAAGGCAAUCCUAGAAGGAAACCUUUUGGUACCGUGCAGUUCUCCCUGACUGGUCUGCUGUGUUCCCUGGUCUUCAUGACGAUGUUUGUUCGCUAAUGUUCUUCACAAAACAGUUGCAUUUAUACUGAAAUUAAAUUAAACACAGGAGGACUAUAUUUACUAGUUAGUUUUCUGAAGGUGGUGGGUUGCACUGGAUUGUUAUUUAGGGGCAUUGGAGUGAAAUGGGUGGGGAAAAAAAUGCAUUUUGCACUCUGAUUUUCAUUUGUAAAACAAAAAUGCAAACCAUGAUUUGUUCUUGUCAUUUCAGUACAAUGCACUGCUUGGUUUGUCAUACAAAACACAUUAGAUCUGGGACUGCAAUGUAAAACUGUACAAAGGGGAUGGAUACUUCUGCAAGGCCCUGUGUAAUGAAGGUUCUUUGUAUUAUUUACAACUUGGCCUUUUGGUGUUUUAAGUUAUGAUUUGCAUAAGAGGCUAUUUUCAGGUCAUUAUAUGGAUUGGCGUCAGUGGUUAAUGGUUUUUUAAAAGCCAUGCUACUUUGCAAAUAAAGCAGCAAAGCAGUCUGAAAAGUAUCCUGUAAAAAAUAACACCAGAAGUAAAAAAAUUGAUUCUUAGAA
Molecule: long non-coding RNA, 782 nt
Organism: Girardinichthys multiradiatus
Lineage: Eukaryota; Metazoa; Chordata; Actinopteri; Cyprinodontiformes; Goodeidae
Exons: 2
Source: RefSeq, a predicted model, not a curated record